This 748-nucleotide ribosomal RNA is filed under the name uncultured cyanobacterium. Its description in RNAcentral is "bacterial SSU rRNA". It matches the Rfam family "Bacterial small subunit ribosomal RNA", at positions 8 to 796 of the family's 1533-position model. Lineage: Bacteria; Bacillati; Cyanobacteriota. The record is from RNAcentral.
AGAGUUUGAUCCUGGCUCAGGAUGAACGCUGGCGGUAUGCCUAACACAUGCAAGUCGAACGAAUCCCUUCGGGGAUUAGUGGCGGACGGGUGAGUAACGCGUGAGAAUUUACCAAAAGGACCGGGACAACCACUGGAAACGGUGGCUAAUACCGGAUGAGCCGAAAAGUAAAAAGGGAAACCUGCCUUUUGAAGAGCUCGCGUCUGAUUAGCUAGUUGGUGAGGUAAGAGCUCACCAAGGCAGCGAUCAGUAGCUGGUCUGAGAGGAUGACCAGCCACACUGGGACUGAGACACGGCCCAGACUCCUACGGGAGGCAGCAGUGGGGAAUUUUCCGCAAUGGGCGCAAGCCUGACGGAGCAAUACCGCGUGGGGGAGGAAGGCUCUUGGGUCGUAAACCUCUUUUCUCAGGGAAGAACACAAUGACGGUACCUGAGGAAUCAGCAUCGGCUAACUCCGUGCCAGCAGCCGCGGUAAUACGGAGGAUGCAAGCGUUAUCCGGAAUGAUUGGGCGUAAAGCGUCCGCAGGUGGCAGUGUAAGUCUGCUGUCAAAGGUCAGGGCUCAACCCUGAACAGGCAGUGGAAACUACACAGCUAGAGUGCGGUGGGGGCAGAGGGAAUUCCCAGUGUAGCGGUGAAAUGCGUAGAGAUUGGGAAGAACACCGGUGGCGAAAGCGCUCUGCUAGGCCGCAACUGACACUCAUGGACGAAAGCUAGGGGAGCGAAUGGGAUUAGAUACCCCCGUAGUCC